RNAcentral lists this ribosomal RNA (464 nucleotides) under Vreelandella stevensii. Its description in RNAcentral is "partial 16S ribosomal RNA". It matches the Rfam family "Bacterial small subunit ribosomal RNA", at positions 338 to 795 of the family's 1533-position model. Lineage: Bacteria; Pseudomonadati; Pseudomonadota; Gammaproteobacteria; Oceanospirillales; Halomonadaceae. The record is from RNAcentral.
CCUAGGGUGGCAGCAGUGGGGAAUAUUGGACAAUGGGCGAAAGCCUGAUCCAGCCAUGCCGCGUGUGUGAAGAAGGCCUUCGGGUUGUAAAGCACUUUCAGUGGGGAAGAAAGCCUUGGGGCUAAUACCCUCGAGGAAGGACAUCACCCACAGAAGAAGCACCGGCUAACUCCGUGCCAGCAGCCGCGGUAAUACGGAGGGUGCGAGCGUUAAUCGGAAUUACUGGGCGUAAAGCGCGCGUAGGCGGUCUGAUAAGCCGGUUGUGAAAGCCCCGGGCUCAACCUGGGAACGGCAUCCGGAACUGUCAGGCUAGAGUGCAGGAGAGGAAGGUAGAAUUCCCGGUGUAGCGGUGAAAUGCGUAGAGAUCGGGAGGAAUACCAGUGGCGAAGGCGGCCUUCUGGACUGACACUGACGCUGAGGUGCGAAAGCGUGGGUAGCAAACAGGACUAGAUACCCCUGUAGUC